GCUGCGUGAGUUAAUCUCCUUUUGGAGCUGGACUGAUUAGAAUUUCUAGCGUUUUAAUCGCUCCAUAACCUUAAGCUAGACGCUUUUAAAAGGUGGUUCGCCUUUUAAACUAAGAAACAAGAACUCUUGAAACUACCUCAAGGUUUUAGAAAGUUGGACCAGAGCUAGUUUUAAGGCUAAAAAACUAACCAAUUUUCUAAGCAUUGUAGAAGUUUGUGUUUAGGACAAGAUUUUUGGACUGGGGUUCGAUUCCCCACAGCUCCACCA
RNAcentral lists this transfer-messenger RNA (267 nucleotides) under Helicobacter pylori. RNAcentral describes it as "partial transfer-messenger RNA". It matches the Rfam family "transfer-messenger RNA", at positions 114 to 374 of the family's 374-position model. Rfam says of the family: Bacterial tmRNA, also known as 10Sa RNA or SsrA, is named for its dual tRNA and mRNA-like properties. Its role is to liberate the mRNA from a stalled ribosome. Lineage: Bacteria; Pseudomonadati; Campylobacterota; Epsilonproteobacteria; Campylobacterales; Helicobacteraceae. The record is from RNAcentral.